UACGGAGGGUGCAAGCGUUAUCCGGAUUUACUGGGUUUAAAGGGGGUGUAGGCGGACUUUUAAGUCCGUGGUGAAAUCUCCGGGCUCAACCCGGAAACUGCCAUGGAUACUAUUGGUCUUGAAUGUUGUUGAGGUGGGCGGAACGGGUCAUGUAGCGGUGAAAUGCAUAGAUAUGACCCGGAACACCGAUUGCGAAGGCAGCCCACUAAGCAAUGAUUGACGCUGAGGCACGAAAGCGUGGGGAUCAAACAGG
Molecule: ribosomal RNA, 253 nt
Filed under: uncultured bacterium
Lineage: Bacteria
Description: partial 16S ribosomal RNA
Rfam family: Bacterial small subunit ribosomal RNA
Source: RNAcentral